GACGAACGCUGGCGGCGUGCUUAACACAUGCAAGUCGAACGGAAAGGCCCUGCUUUUGUAGGGUGCUCGAGUGGCGAACGGGUGAGUAACACGUGAGUAACCUGCCCUUGACUUUGGGAUAACUUCAGGAAACUGGGGCUAAUACCGGAUAGGAGCUCCUGCUGCAUGGUGGGGGUUGGAAAGUUUCGGCGGUUGGGGAUGGACUCGCGGCUUAUCAGCUUGUUGGUGGGGCAGUGGCUUACCAAGGCUUUGACGGGUAGCCGGCCUGAGAGGGUGACCGGCCACAUUGGGACUGAGAUACGGCCCAGACUCCUACGGGAGGCAGCAGUGGGGAAUAUUGCACAAUGGGCGGAAGCCUGAUGCAGCAACGCCGCGUGCGGGAUGACGGCCUUCGGGUUGUAAACCGCUUUCGCCUGUGACGAAGCGUGAGUGACGGUAAUGGGUAAAGAAGCACCGGCUAACUACGUG
Molecule: ribosomal RNA, 468 nt
Filed under: uncultured bacterium
Lineage: Bacteria
Description: partial 16S ribosomal RNA
Rfam family: Bacterial small subunit ribosomal RNA
Source: RNAcentral